RNAcentral lists this long non-coding RNA (17037 nucleotides) under Triticum aestivum (bread wheat). RNAcentral describes it as "long non-coding RNA (TAES_LNC026167)". The stretch from base 16413 to 16547 matches the Rfam family "MIR1120/MIR1122 microRNA precursor family". Lineage: Eukaryota; Viridiplantae; Streptophyta; Magnoliopsida; Poales; Poaceae. The record is from RNAcentral.
UAGUAUUAUCUCCCAUGCCGGAAUCACCAUUUUUGCUUUGGCAGGAUUUAGAGCGGCGCCGCUUACGCCGGCGCUUUGGCUGUUUCUUGGGGGCGUCAUCCCCCACUGUUCCAUCGCCAUCUCCAUCUUUUGGAGUAUCCACCAUAUAUAUGUCAUAUGACGAGGUGGCCUUCCAGCGCCCUACAGGUGCUGGUUCCUAUUCGUCUCGUACAUCGUCGUCCAUGCCGUCGAUGUCUUCGGAGCUGAAGUCAAGCAUGUCGGUUAGAUCGUCGACAGUGGCUACAAAGUGGGUGCUGGGUGGGCUUUGAAUUUCCUCAUCGUCCGUAUCCCACCCUCACUGACCGUAGUCCGGCCAGGGCUCUCCUGAUAAAGAGAGAGACUUAAGAGAAUUCAGGAUGUCGCCAAAAGGCGAAUGCUGAAAGAUGUCUGCGGCGGUGAACUCCAUUAUCGGCACCCAAUCGGAUUCGAUUGGCAGGGGCGUGGGGGGUUCGGAGUCCGGGGAGGAGUUCGGAUCCUCGUAGUCACGGGUCGUGCAGAGUGCGGGGCUAGCGUUCGGCUCGAUAGCUUUCAGGAUCGCAGCCCCUGAGGUGAUGUCCAACCAUUCAUCCUCGAUUGGCGUAAUAGGCUCCGAGUUAGGGGUCGGAACCGAUGCAUGUGCGGCCUCCAGGACACUGUCCGGGGGCAGAGCUAGAUCAUGCCCCUCGAGAUAGUGCGGCGCGCUUGGCCGUGGCUCGAGACCAUCGAAGAUCAAGUCUCUGCGGAUGUCAGCCGUGUAGUUUAAGCUUCCAAACCUGACUUGAUGGCCAGGGGCGUAACUUUUGAUCUGCUCCAGGUGGCCGAGCGAAUUGGCCCGCAGAGCGAAGAUCUAUCUGGGGAGCAAAGUCUCACCCUGGACCGCAUCGUUGUUGAUGAUCAAAGGAGCCAUCGGGCCUAAAGGCGACGACACAGAGGAACUCUCAAUGAAAGCACCAAUGACGGUGUCAAAACCGGCGGAUCUCGAGUAGUGGGUCCCGAACUGUGCGUCUAGGCCGGAUGGUAACAGGAGACAGGGAACAUGAUGUUUUACCCAGGUUCGGGCCCUCUUGAUGGAGGUAAAACCCUACGUCCUGCUUGAUUAAUAUUGAUGAUAUGGGUAGUACAAGAGUAGAUAUACCACGAGAUCAAGGAGGCUAAACCCUAGAAGCUAGCCUAUGGUAUGAUUGUUGUAUAUGGAGUUGAUUGCCUAUGGACUACAACCCUCCGGUUUAUAUAGACACCGGAUAGGGUUAGGGUUACAUAGAGUCGGUUACAAUGGUAGGAGAUCCUGAAUAUCCGCAUCGCCAAGCUUGCCUUCCACGCCAAGGAAAGUCCCAUCCGGACACGGGACGAAGUCUUCAAUCUUGUAUCUUCAUAGUCCAGGAGUCCGGCUGAAGGUAUAAUCCGGCUACCCGAACACCCCCUAAUCCAGGACUCCCUCACCCAUAUCUACUCAAGUCAUCAGUGAGGGUUAGAACAUAACGAUAGCCACCACGAGCCUCAACACUCAUUGGACCGCACACAUCAGUAUGUAUGAUUUCCAAUAAGUUGGUUGCUCGCUCCAUUGUUCCUGAGAACGGAGUCUUGGUCAUUUUACCCAUGAGGCAUGGUUCGCACGUGUCAAAUGAUUCGUAAUCAAGAGACUCUAAAAGUCCAUCUGCAUGGAGCUUCUUCAUGCGUUUGACACCUAUGUGACCAAGGCGGCAGUGCCACAAGUAUGUGGGACUAUCAUUAUCAACCUUACAUCUUUUGGUAUUCACACUAUGAAUAUGUGUAGCAUUACGCUCGAGAUUCAUUAAGAAUAAACCACACCAUCGGAGCAUGACCAUAAAACAUAUCUCUCAUAUAAAUAGAACAACCAUUAUUCUCAGAUUUAAAUGAGUAGCCAUCUCAAAUUAAACGAGAUCCUGAUACAAUGUUCAUGCUCAAAGCUGGCACUAAAUAACAAUUAUUGAGGUUUAAAACUAAUCCCGUAGGUAAAUGUAGAGGUAGCAUGCCGACGGCGAUCACAUCAACCUUGGAACCAUUCCCGACGCGCAUCGUCACCUCGUCCUUCGCCAGUCUCCGCUUAUUCCGCAGCUCCUGCUUUGAGUUACAAAUGUGAGCAACGGCACCGGUAUCAAAUACCCAGGAGCUACUACGAGUACUGGUAAGGUACACAUCAAUUACAUGUAUAUCACAUAUACCUUUAGUGUUGCCGGCCUUCUUGUCCGCUAAGUAUUUGGGGCAGUUCCGCUUCCAAUGACCAUUUCCCUUACAAUAAAAGCACUUAGUCUCGGGCUUGGGUCCAUUCUUUGGCUUCUUCCUGGCAGCUUGCUUACCGGGCGCGGCAACUCCCUUGUCGUCCUUCUUGAAGUUCUUCUUACCCUUGCCUUUCUUAAACUUAGUGGUUUUAUUCACCAUCAACACUUGAUGUUCCUUUUUGAUUUCCACCUCUGCUGAUUUCAGCAUUGAAUACACCUCAGGAAUGGUCUUUUCCAUCCCCUGCAUAUUGAAGUUCAUCACAAAGCUCUUGUAGCUUGGUGGAAGCGACUGAAGGAUUAUGUCAAUGACCGCGUCAUCCGGGAGAUUAACUCCCAGCUGAGACAAGAGGUUAUGCAACCCAGACAUUGUGAGUAUGUGCUCACUGACAGAACUAUUUUCCUCCAUCUUACAGCUGAAGAACUUGUCGGAGAAUUCAUAUCUCUCGACCCGGGCAUGAGCUUGAAAAACCAUUUUCAGCUCUUCGAACAUCGCAUAUGCUCCGUGUCUCUCAAAACGCUUUUGGAGCCCCGGUUCUAAGCUGUAAAGCAUGCCGCACUGAACGAGGGAGUAAUCAUCAGCACGUGACUGCCAAGCGUUCAUAACGUCUUGGUUCUCUGGGACAGGUGCGUCACCUAGCGGUGCUUCUAGGACAUAAUCUUUCUUGGCAGCUAUGAGGAUGAUCCUCAGGUUCCGGACCCAGUCCGUAUAGUUGCUGCCAUCGUCUUUCAGCUUGGUUUUCUCUAGGAACGCGUUGAAGUUGAGGACAACAUGGGCCAUUUGAUCUACAAGACAUAUUGUAAAGAUUUUAGACUAAGUUCAUGAUAAUUAAGUUCAUCUAAUCAAAUUAUUCAAUGAACUCCCACUCAGAUAGACAUCCCUCCAGUCAUCUAAGUAUAACAUGAUCCGAGUUAACUAGGCCGUGUCCAAUCAUCACGUGAGAUGGACUAGUCAACAUCGGUGAACAUCUUCAUGUUGAUCGUAUCUUCUAUACGACUCAUGCUCGACCUUUCGGUCUUCUGUGUUCCGAGGCCAUGUCUGUACAUGCUAGGCUCGUCAAUUCAACCUAAGUGUAUUGCGUGUGUAAAUCUGGCUUACACCCGUUGUAUUCGAACGUUAGAAUCUAUCACACCCGAUCAUCAUGUGGUGCUUCGAAACAACGAACCUUCGCAACGGUGCACAGUUAGGGGGAACACUUUCUUGAAAUUAUUUCGAGGGAUCAUCUUAUUUAAGCUACUGUCGUUCUAAGCAAAUAAGAUGCAAAACAUGAUAAACAUCACAUGCAAUCAAAUAGUGACAUGAUAUGGCCAAUAUCAUUUGCUCCUUUUGAUCUCCAUCUUCGGGGCUCCAUGAUCAUCGUUGUCACCGGCAUGACACCAUGAUCUCCAUCAUCAUGAUCUCCAUCAUCGUGUCUUCUUGAAGUUGUCUCGUCAUCUAUUACUUCUACUACUAUGGCUAACGCUUUAGCAAUAAAGUAAAGUAAUUACAUGACGUUUAUGUUGACACGCAGGUCAUAAAUAAAUAAAGACAACUCCUAUGGCUCCUGCCGGUUGUCAUACUCAUCGACAUGCAAGUCGUGAUUCCUAUUACAAGAACAUGAUCAUCGCAUACAUCACAUCCUUUGGCCAUAUCACAUCACAAAACACUUGCUGCAAAAACAAGUUAGACGUCCUCUAAUUGUUGUUGCAAGUUUUUACGUGGCUGCUAUAGGUUUCUAGCAAGAACGUUCCUUACCUACACCAAAACCACAACGUGAAUUGCCAAUUUCUAUUUACCCUUCAUAAGGACCCUGUUCAUCGAAUCUGAUCCGACUAAAGUGGAAGAUACAGACACCCGCCAGCCACCUUAUGCAACUAGUGCAUGUCAGUCGGUGGAACCGGUCUCACGUAAGCGUACGUGUAAGGUUCGUCCGAGCCGCUUCAUCCCACAAUGUCGCCGAAUCAAGAUAAGACUAGUAACGGCAAGAUAAUUGACAAUAUCGACGCCCACAACUGCUUUGUGUUCUACUCGUGCAUAGUAACUAUGCAUAGAACUAGCUCAUGAUGCCACUGAUGGGGAACGUAACAGAAUUUUAAAAUUUUCUACGCAUCACCAAGAUCAAUCUAUGGAGUCAUCUAGCAACGAGGGAGAGAGGAGUGCAUCUACAUACCCUUGUAGAUCACGAGUGGAAGCGUUCAAGAGAACGGGGUUGAUGGAGUCGUACUCGUCGUGAUCCAAAUCACCGAAGAUCCUAGCGCCGAACGGACGGCACCUCCGCGUUCAACACACGUAUGGAGCGAGGACGUCUCCCGCGCCUUGAUCCAGCAAGGAGGAGGGAGAGGUUGAGGAAGAGGGCUCCAACAGCAGCACGACGGCGUGGUGGUGGUGAAGCUGCAGUACUCCGGCAGGGCUUCGCCAAGCUCUAACGGAGGAGGAGAGGUGUACGGGAGGGGAGGGGCUGCGCCUUGGAUGUUGUAUGCAGCCCUCCCCUCACCCCUCUAUUUAUAGGGGAAGGGGGAAGGGGGCCGGCCCCCUCUAGAUGAGAUCUAGAGGGGGGGCGGCCAAGGGGAGGGGGCUUGCCCCCCAAGCAAGGGGGCCCCCCCUUUAGGGUUUCCCCCCAACCCUAGGCGCAUGGGCCCUAGGGGGGUGUGGCGCCCCAGCCCACUUGGGAUGGUUCCCUUCUCCAUACAGCCCAUAAGGCCCUUCGGAAGAGGUGGCCCCUCCCGGUGGACCCCCGGAACCCCUCCGGUGGCCCCGGUACAAUACCGAUAUGCCCCCGAACCUUUCCAGCGACCGUAUGACAACUUCCCAUAUAUAAAUCUUUACCUCCGGACCAUUCCGGAAGUCCUCGUGACGUCCGGGAUCUCAUCUGGGACUCCGAACAACAUUCGGUAAUCACAUACAAGUCUUCCUAACAACCCUAGCGUCACCGAACCUUAAGUGUGUAGACCCUAUGGGUUCGGGAGACAUGCAAACAUGACCGAGACGACUCUCCGGUCAAUAACCAACAGCGGGAUCUGGAUACCCAUGUUGGCUCCCACAUGCUCCACGAUGAUCUCAUCGGAUGAACCGCGAUGUCGAGGAUUAAAUCAAUCCGUAUACAAUUCCCUUUGUCAAUCGGUACAUUACUUGCCCGAGACUCGAUCGUCGGUAUCUCAAUACCUUGUUCAGUCUCGUUACCGGCAAGUCACUUUACUCGUGCCGUAAUGCAUGAUCCCAUGAUCAACCACUUGGUCACAUUGAGCUCAUUAUGAUGAUGCAUUACCGAGUGGGCCCAGAGAUACCUCUCCGUCAUACGGAGUGACAAAUCCCAGUCUCGAUUCAUGCCAACCCAACGGACACUUUCGGAGAUACCUGUAAUGUACCUUUAUAGUCAUCCAGUUACGUUGUGACGUUUGGCACACCCAAGGCACUCCUACGGUAUCCGGGAGUUGCAUAAUCGCAUGGUCUAAGGAAAUGAUACUUGACAUUCAGAAAAGCUACAGCAAAUGAACUACACGAUCUUUGAGCUAAGCUUAGGAUUGGGUCUUGUCCAUCACAUCAUUCUCCUAAUCAUGUGAUCCCGUUAUCAAUGACAUCCAAUGUCCAUAGUCAAGAAACCAUGACUAUCUUUUGAUCAACGAGCCAGUCAACUAGAGGCUCACUAGGGACGUGUUGUGGUCUAUGUAUUCACACAUGUAUUACGAUUUCCGGAUAACACAAUUAUAGCAUGAACAAUAGACAAUUAUCAUGAACAAAGAAAUAUAAUAAUAACCAUUUUAUUAUUGCCUCUAGGGCAUAUUUCCAACAGGAAGGUAUAGUGGACUCAUGUGGAAUAACUUUGGGGUUUAAGGGAUUGGAUGCACAAGCAGUAUUCCCUCUUAGUACAGGUGAAGGCUAGUAAAAGACUGGGAAGCGACCAGCUAGAGAGCGACAACAGUCAUGAACAUGCAUUAAAAUUAAUCAACACUGAAUGCAAACAUGAGUAGGAUAUAAUCCACCAUGAACAUAAAUAUUGUGAAGGCUAUGUUGAUUUUGUUUCAACUACAUGCGUGAACAUGCUCCAAGUCAAGUCACUUAAAUCAUUCAGAGGAGGAUACCACCCUAUCAUACCACAUCAUAACCAUUUCAAUAGCAUGUUGGCACUCAAGGUAAACCAUUAUAACUCAUAGCUAAUCAAGCAUGGCACAAGAACUAUGAUCUCUAGUUGUCAUUGCAAACAUGUUUAUUCAUAAUAGGCCGAAUCAGGAACGAUGAACUAAUCAUAUUUACAAAAACAAAAGAGGUCGAGUUCAUACCAACCUUUCUCAUCUCAGUCAGUCCAUCAUAUAUCGUCAUAAUUGCCUUUCACUUGCACGACCGAAUGAUGUGAAUAAUAAUAAUUGUGCAUGUGCAUUGGACUAAGCUGGAAUCUCCUCACAAAGGAACUAGUGAGAUUGUGAUACUGGCUGCACUUCUCUUCCUCGAAGCUCACAAGAUCAGCGUUACGCAAAUAUGCAUUAAAUUCUUCCUUAAUUCCCGCUCGAUCCAUAAAGUUCUCAGAAGGCCAUUCACAAGGACGCACUUUAGCAUCUCUUGGUGGCUCAUCAUUAGCAUCACACAUUGCAAGCCUGGGUCCUUGCUUCCUUGAAGAACCACCCUGGAACAUUUUCCUAAGCAUAUUUCUUCCUCUGAAAAAUUCUGAAUUUUUUUAGUAACUUCAAAAUAAAAGUAAACCAAACUCAAUAAUAUUGAUAGCAACUACUCCUACAAGUGCCUAGAGCCUAUAUCAUGCAUCAAAACUACUUGGAACCAUAUAAAUUUGACAUGCAAGCUCAAGAACAGGGUCACCUAAGCAGCCAAAAUUUGCAAUGAAUAAAGCACUAGAACAAAAACUAAUUGGACCAAUGGAGGAGUCACAUACCAAGGAACAAUCUCCCCAAGCAGUUUUGUGAGAGGUGCUUUGAGCAAGGAGAUAAAAAAUGGUAGCAAAAUGAGCUUGGACUCGGGUUUGAGCUGGUUGUUCGUGUUUGUGGAGGAAGAAGGAGUGUGUGGGUGAAAGGAUAAGUGGAGUAGGGCCAGCAUGGGCCCACAAGGUAGGGGGUGCACCUAGGGGCGUAGGGCGCGCCCUCCACCCUCGUGGGCAGGUGGGUGCCCCCCUGUUGUGUUCUCAGUGCCAAAUCUUCUCAAAUAUUCUAGAAAAAAUCAUAUUUAAAUUUUAGGGCAUUUGAAGAACUUUUAUUUUCGGGGUAUUUUUAUAGUGCACGGAUAAUUCAGAUAACAGACAGAAAAAUACUAUUUUUAUUUUAUUUAAUAUAAAUAACAGAAAGUAAAAGUGGGGUACAGAAGGUUGUGCCUUCUAGUUUCAUCCAUCUCAUGGUCAUCAAAAGGAAUCCACUAACAAGGUUGAUCAAGUCUUGUUAACGAACUCAUUCCGAAUAACAUGGAACCGGAGAAAUUUUGAAUAACACUAUGUUACCUCAACGGGGAUAUGCACGUCCCCAAUAAUAAGAAUAUCAUAUUUCUUCUUGACAGUAGGAAGAGGAAAUUCAAAACCUCCAAAUAUAACCGAUGGAAUUUUUCCAAUAGAGUUGAUACUAUGAACUUGAGGUUGUUUCCUCGGAAAGUGUACCAUGUGCUCAUUACCAUUAACAUGAAAAGUGACAUUGCCUUUAGUGCAAUCAAUAACAGCCCCUGCAAUAUUCAAAAAGGGUCUUCCAAGAAUAAUAGACAUACUAUCGUCCUCGGGAAUAUCAAGAAUAACAAAGUCCGUUAAAAUAGUAACGUUUGCAACUACAACAUGCACAUCCUCAUAAAUACCGACAGGUAUAGCAGUUGAUUUAUCAGCCAUUUGCAAAGAUAUUUCAGUAGGUCUCAACUUAUUCAAAUCAAGUCUAUGAUAUAAAGAGAGAGGCAUAACACUAACACCGGCUCCAAGAUCACAUAAAGCAGUUUUAACAUAGUUUCUUUUAAUGGAGCAUGGUAUAGUUGGUACACCGGGAUCUCCAAGUUUCUUUGGUAUUCCACCCUUAAAAGUAUAAUUAGCAAGCAUGGUGGAAAUUUCAGCUUCUUGUAUCUUUCUCUUAUUUGUAACAAUAUCUUUCAUAUACUUAGCAUAAGGAUUCAUUUUGAGAAUAUCAGUUAAUCGCAUACGCAAAAAGAUAGGUCUAAUCAUUUCAGCAAAGCGCUCAAAAUCCUCAUCAUCCUUUUUCUUGGAUGGUUUGGGAGGAAAAGGCAUGGGUUUCUGAACCCAUGGUUCUCUUUCUUUACCGUGUUUCCUAGCAACAAAAUCUUUCUUAUCAUAACGUUGAUUAUUUGAUUGUGGGUUAUCAAGAUCAACAGCAGGUUCAAUUUCUACAUCAUCAUCAUUGCUAGGCUGAGCAUCAUCAUGAACAUUAUCAUUAACAUUAUCACUAGUUUCAGGUUCAUUACCAACUUGUGUUUCAGCAUCAAAAAUAGAAAUAUCAUUUGGAUUCUUAGGUGUUUCAGUAAUAGGUUCACUAGAAGCAUGCAAAGUCCUAUCAUUUUUCUUUUUCUUCCUUUUAGAAGGACUCGGUGCAUCUAUAUUAUUUCUCUAAGAAUCUUGCUCAAUUCUCUUAGGGUGGCCUUCAGGAUACAAAGGUUCCCGAGUCAUUUUACCACCUCUAGUCAUAACUCUAACAGCAUUAUCAUUAUUCUUACUAUUCAAUUCAUUGAGCAAAUCAUUUUGAGCUUUAAGUACUUGUUCUACUUGAGUGGUAACCAUAGAAGCAUGUUUACUAAUAAGUUUAAGUUCACCUUUGACAUUAGCCAUAUAAUCACCCAAAGUGUUCAAGCAUAUUUGAAUUGUAUUUCAAUUGUCUACCAAAAUAAGCAUUAAAAUCUUCUUUCUUAACCAUAAAUUUAUCAAACUCAUCUAAGCAUGGGCUAGCAAACUUAGUAAAUGGGAUUUCAGCUUUAUCAUAUCUAUAGAGAGAAUUUACCUUUACUACCUGUGUCGGGUUAUCAAGACCAUGAGUUUCUUCAAUAGGUAAUGGAUUAAGAUCAUAUGUUUCUUCAACAGGCGGUAAAUUAAGACCAUGUAUUUCUUCAAUAGGAGGUAAAUUCUUAACAUCUUCAGCUUUAAUACCUUUUUCUUUCAUAGAUUUCUUUGCCUCUUGCAUAUCUUUAGGACUGAGAAAUAGAAUACCCCUCUUCUUCGGAGUUGGUUUGGGAAUAGGCUCAGGAAUUGGCUCCGGAGGUGUUCAAUUAUUUUCAUUUUUCAACAUAUUAUUCAAUAGAAUUUCAUCUUCAUCCGGUGUUCUUUCCCUGAAAACAGAACCAGCACAACUAUCCAGGUAAUCUCUGGAGGCAUCGGCUAGUCCAUUAUAAAAGAUAUCAAGUAUUUCAUUUUUCUUAAGAGGAUGAUCAGGCAAAGCAUUAAGUAAUUGGAGAAGCCUCCUCCAAGCUUGUGGGAGACUCUCCUCUUCAAUUUGCGCAAAAUUAUAUAUAUCCCUUAAAGCAGCUUGUUUCUUAUGAGCAGGGAAAUAUUUAGCUGAGAAGUAAUAAGUCAUAUCCUGGGGACUACGCACACAACAAGGAUCAAGAGAAUUAAACCAUAUCUUAGCAUCACCAUUUAAUGAGGACGCAAAUAUUUUAAGGAUAUAAAAGUAGCGAGUUCUCUCAUCAUUAGUGAACAGGGUAGCUAUAUCAUUUAAUUUAGUAAGAUGUUCCACAACAGUUUCAAAUUCAUAGCCAUGAAAAGGAUCAGAUUCAACCAAAGUAAUUAUAUCAGGAUCAACAGAGAAUUCAUAAUCCUUAUCAAUAACACAGAUAAGUGAAGUAGCAAAAGCAGGGUCAGGUUUCAUUCUAGCAUUUAGAGAUUGCUGAUUCCAUUUAGCUAAUAACAUCUUGAGUUCGUAUCUAUCUUUGCAAGCUAAAAUAGCUAAAGAAGCUUCUUUAUCAAAAACAUAACCCUCAGGAAUAACAGGCAAGUCUUCAUCAUCAAUUUCAUCAGUAUUAUCAGAUUCAAUAUUUCCAAUCUCUCUAGCCCUAGCAAGUUGUUUGUCAAUAAAUUCACUAAGUGGCACAGUAGUAUCAGGCAUAUAAGUAGUUUCAUCAUAAGUAUCAUGUAUAGCAGAAGUGGCACCAUCAAUAACAUGCGACAUAUCAGAACGAAUAACAGAAGUAGGUUUAGGUGUCGCAAGCUUACUCAAAACAGAAGGUGAAUCAAGUGCAGAGCUAGAUGGCAGUUCCUUUGAGGGAUAAAUCUUAGUUUUUGGACUCUCAAGUUCUUCAUAAUGAUAAGUAGAUAUAGAUCCCAAGUGACUCAAAGAAUAGAGCUAUGCUCCCCGGCAACAGCGCCAGCAAAUAGUCUUGAUAACCCACAAGUAUAGGGGAUCGCAACAGUUUUCGAGGGUAGAGUAUUCAACCCAAAUUUAUUGACUCGACACAAGGGGAGCCAAAGAAUAUUCUCAAGUAUUAGCAGCUGAGUUGUCAAUUCAAUCACACCUGGAAACUUAGUAUCUGCAGCAAAGUGUUUAGUAGCAAAGUAAUAUGAUAGUGGUGGUAACGGUAGCAAAAAGGUAACCGUAGUAAAAGUAAUGUUUUUGGUAUUUUAUAGUGAUGAUAGCAAUAGCAACGAAAAAGUAAAUAAGCGGAGAACAAUAUAUGGAAAGCUCGUAGGCAAUGGAUCAGUGAUGGAGAAUUAUGCCAGAUGCGGUUCAUCAUGUAACAGUCAUAACCUAGGGUGACACAGAAUUAGCUCUAGUUCAUCAAUGUAAUGUAGGUAUGUAUUCCGAAUAUAGUCAUACGUGCUUAUGGAAAAGAACUUGCAUGACAUCUUUUGUCCUACCCUCCCGUGGCAGCGGGGUCCUUACGGAAACUAAGGGAUAUUAAGGCCUCCUUUUAAUAGAGUACCGGAAUAAAGCAUUAACACAUAGUGAAUACAUGAACUCCUCAAACUACGGUCAUCACCGGUAAGUAUCCUGAUUAUUGUUACUUCGGGGUUAAUGGAUCAUAACACAUAAUAGGUGACUAUAGACUUGCAAGAUAGGAUCUAGAACUCUCAUAUAUUGAUGAAAACAUAAUAGGUUCAGAUAUGUAAUCAUGGCACUCGGGCCCUAGUGACAAGCAUUAAGCAUAGCAAAGUCAUAUCAACAUCAAUCUCAGAACAUAGUGGAUACUAGGGAUCAAACCCUAACAAAACUAACUCAAUUACAUGAUAGAUCACAUCCAACCCAUCACCGUCCAGCAAGCUUACGAUGAAAUUACUCAUGCACGGCGGUGAGCAUCAUGAAAUUGGUGAUGGAGGAUGGUUGAUGAUGACGAUGGCGACGGAUUCCCCUCUUCGGAGUCCCGAACGGACUCCAGAUCAGCCCUCCCGAGAGGUUUUAGGGCUUGGCGGCGGCUCCGUAUCGUAAAACGCGAUGAUUUCUUCUCUCUGAUUUUUUUCUCCCCGAAACACAAUAUAUAGAGUUGGAGUUGGAGUCGGAGGAGCUCCAGGGGCACGAGGUAGGGGGCGCGCCCCCCACCCUCGUGGACAGGUGGUGGCCCCCCUGGCCUUCAUCUUUUGCAAAGAUUUUCUAUAUUUUCCGAAAAGUUGUUCCGUGAAGUUUCAGGUCAUUCCGAGAACUUUUGUUUCUGCACAUAAAUAACACCAUGAUAAUUGUGCUGAAAACAGCGUCAGUUCGGGUUAGUUCCAUUCAAAUCAUGCAAGUUAGAGUCCAAAACAAGGGCAAAAAUGUUUGGAAAAGUAGAUACGACGGAGACGUAUCAGGCCCACAAGUGGGGGGGGGGGGCUAGGGCGCGCCUUGUGAACUUGUGUCCACCUCGUGACUUUCUGGCCUCCUCCCGAAGCUUCCAGGGUGUCUUGUAGUCCAAGAAAAAUCGUCAAAAAGUUUCGUUCCGUUUGGUAUUGAUUUUUCUGUGAAGACAAAAACAAGGAAAAAAUAGCAACUGACACUUGGCACUAGGUUAAUAGACUAUCCCAAAAAUGAUAUAAAAUAGCAUAAUAAUUCAUAUAAAACAUCCAAGAUUGAUAAUAUAAUAGCAUUGGAACAAUCAAAAAUUAUAGAUAGUUCUCAAAAAAAUCAAAAAUUAUAGAUACGUUGGAGACGUAUCAGCUGCUAUGUUGAAUUGUAAUCAUAAUCAACAUGCACAUCUCAAUAUGUACAUUAACACAUUUAAAACCUAAAAAUGACAAUUAACCCAAAAUAAUUGUGUAUUUUUUUCAAUGAUCAAGAUCAACAAGAUCUAUCUAAACAACAUCAUCUUCACACAUUCACGCAUUCAAAUAUGUCAAAUGUAAUAAUCCAAAAUGCAGAUACUAAUAGCGACAAGAUCUUUCAAGGACCAUUGAAGGCUAAAAUUUUGGUUGGUCGAAAACCAAGAUCUUCGAAGGUUCAUGGCUUGUAUUAAGCACGGUAUGGAAGAUAAAAGAGAACUUGCCAUUCCAAAUAUAUUAAGACCAUAAAAAUAAAAAAAUUGCAUUGAAUGAAGAGGCUUGAACUUGCAUGCAGAUAUUGGUUUAAACUUGUGGCUUCUUUGUUUCCCUGCAAACACCAUGGGAAGCAUGUAAGCAAACUUACUAUAGUAGUUAUCAGAUUUUAAGCUUCUAAAACUGACAUUACAUAGCAAGGCAUAAGACUUCCUGAGUGCUCACACACACACCAACAUGGUUUGGAUAUAUACAUGUAUUUCUCCUUAUUUCUAGCAGUAACUGAUGGUUUCCCAAGUACUAGACAAGAACCGAGCUAAACGGUGUCAAAAUUGUGCAAAGAAUAGUAACAUUACUCUCUCAAGACUGAACCCAAUGCUUCCCAGCAAUGUCUUCACGUAUUUGGAAAAAGAGAGAAGAUCAACAUAACACUUGACAUAGCAAUACCAUGUGAGUGGCAUGAAUAAAUACAGUUGUAAGACAUGCAAUUUGCUAAACCUUUUUUUUUUUGCAAAAAUACCAUAUCUAUUAUAAAAAUUCACUGGAAGUACAAAGCAUCCCAAACAUAAUAAAAAUUACAUCGAGAUCCAUAAAGAACCUAACGACCAUCGUUGCCGCGAACGAGUCGCCGACGCGCCGCUGUCGCCGCUCCCAUACCGGAGUCGGCCUGACCUUGUCGAUACCAGCUGGGAAGUCUUCGUGCACGUGCCCCUAAGGACCAGCGUUCAGGAGCCGCAGUCGUUGCCGUUGAAUCUUUGAAUCGAUCUGAAGAACCUGACAUCAAAUCUCGUCGUUGCAUGCAACGAGAAGCCCUAACCUCGCCGCUCCCGGGAGCUGGCAGGAAUCUACGCUGGAGCUCCUCUAAUCCGCCCCGACAAACGAACUUGAGGAGGAUCGGAGCCCAAGAGACUGACUCGAAGAAGAAACGUCGUCAUCUGUCCAAGAGCCGUCCUUGCGAGAACGAAAACCCUACCUAUAUAAGCCGAGGCACCAGGAGUACCCUCCGCCACCAGCCGUCGGAGCUGCAAGCGGAGGGGAGGCAAAUCGACAGGCUCGCCGAUGAAGAUCGAAGGGAAGAAGGCUUUCCCUAGUCGCCUUGCGAGAGGGGAAGGAAAAGGCUAAUUUUAAAUAGAAUUAUGUUUAAUUGCAAUUUGCUAAACCACUUGGGCUAAGAGUAAAAAUUUGAAGAUCAACAUCGUAUCAUUGAGGGUUGUUUGGUUUGUAGCCACACUUUGCCACAUGUUAAGUUAGGCAAGUUUUGUCAAAUUAGGUGUUUGUUUGAUUUUAGCCACACCUAAAGCAAAAUUCCUUUUGUGAAAAAUAAGCCUCAUAUGUCAUACGCAUAAAAAAUGUAGCAAGACUCCCCUAGACAAGUCAAAUUGUGGCUAACUAUUUGAGGACCUAAGAUCUUUUUUUAGAAACACCUGCAACUUUAUUGAUACUCAUAACAAUUACAAGUACACUGAUUUGGACCUAAGAUUCAAGAAAAUACAAACUAACUCCUAUGACUAAGAAUUACAAUGAAAAUACAAAGUAAUUUCUUGGAGGAAAACGUUUGUUUUAAGUCGGAUGAAAAGAACGAAACGCAAGCCGCUCCCGUUGAUCGACAUGUGUCCUCUCGCCCUCCACCGCUUCGCUCAGUCGGCCUUAUCUCUUCACCCCGUCUCUCCUCCACACGUUUUCAUCCCCGCUCACUUUUUUCUCUUUCCCAUCUCUGCUCGCGAGAAGAGGAGAGCCCCCAUGGCGUACUUCGGCCACGGUGCUGCGAAAAAGGGAGCGACGGCUCCACCACGCUCCUGCAUCCCACCACAAAUGGAGAGACGGUGAAGUCCGCACGCCACCGCCGCGGUGUUGCAUCCUCGAGGGUGCGACGCAAUGCGUAUGGGGGAGGCGCUCGCUCGUCGGUACCGCCGGCGAUGCGCCGCGCUCGUCGAUGACCAUCUGUGCUCCAAUGCAGAGCAACGCAUCCAUAGCCACAACACUGCGAUACAACCUACUGAUGCUGCAAGUUGCCAGCGGCGGAGCUGCAUUGGAGAGCUCUUGGGGCCAUUGGAGCUCCACCGCGGCUGCAGUGAAGCGUCACCGAAGGGUUGGGGUUGCAAUAUAGCGUCACCGGAGCUGCAGUGAAGCACGCCGGAGGGUCGUCGGGGUUGCAAUGGAGUGUCGCCAGGAGCUGCAGUGAAGCAGGCCGGAGGGUCGUCGGGGUUGCAAUGGAGCGUCGCCGGAGCUGCAGUGAAGCACGCCGGAGGUUGCAAUGGAGCGUCGGCGGUGCCACCGGUGCUGCCAUGAAAGCUGCUGCGCUUGGUACAGGGAAGGAAGACGAGGUUUGUGCUGCGAUCCAAUUGAUGCGCUGCGUAUAGGGAAGGAAGACGAGGUUGUGCUACGAUCCAACGGCAACCCCCGUCAGAUCGGACGGCUGGUUAGGCGGAUGAUUUCCCGAGGAAAUCAUCCGACUUAUUCGUAGCAGUCGCCUUUCUUAGAUGGCGGGGGCGACGGCGGCACGAGAAACCCUAGCUAGCCAAUCUCUUGGUAGGUCGCGACUAUUUGAGCACUUAAGAUAAAAGCAAGUGCGACAAACACAUUGUGAUAAACUGUGGCAAAAUCAGUCACAAACCAAACAAGCCCUGAGUUUUUUUUUGUUCCUUUCAGCCAAACGGGCUGUAAGAGUUAUAUUGGGCUGGUCCACAAGUCCAGCCCAAUACCCAAUAGGCUGAGCGGUCAGCUUGUCAAAGGGGAAUCCCGUGUACGAUUGGGACCCGGGUCAACCCGGACCCGUUUUAUAGAGGAAGCCACAACGGCGGCGAUGCGGCUACUCUCCGGCGUCCCCGCCUCCCGCCUCACCUCCCCGCGCAUCUCCUUCGCCCGCUCGAGCCGUAGAAGCAUGGGGGCGAACGGCCCCGCAAGCAGCACCGCCGCCUCGUCAUCCUCUUCCUCGGCCACUGCCGGCGCCGGCGCCGGCGCGGCCCAGAAGCCGUGGCUGUUCGUCGGGCUCGGGAACCCCGGCAGGAUGUACAAGGGGACCCGCCACAACGUAAGAUUCCGGCGAUCCAGCUAUCUGGAUCCCGCUUUGCUUAUCUUGAAAGGAACUGUGCGUUUUCAGCUGGUAGCCCUGUCGACUGUCCAAGUUAAUCAUGAUGCAAUUCAUAAAUCCUAGUAGUAUUUGCUAGAAAUCACAAUUUUCUGAAGCCAUUUAUACUAUGUCUACAAACGUUGAUGUUGCGUGGUUGGAAAGGCUAAAUUAGGCUUUGAUGCUAAGCUCUUCGCCAGGGUAAAGGUGUUAUCUUUUUGGUUGCUUGAUACUACAAACUCUUGGCUUUCAGUUAACUGCGCACUGUCCCGAUUAAUGUGAUUAGUUGAACUAUAUUCUGGAUUACAGUAUAUCACUAUUAUAUCCUGUUGGUAACCAUUCUGUUGUUGCAUACAGGUUGGGUUUGAGAUGAUUGAUGCUAUUGCAGAAGCUGAGGGGAUAUCUGUCAGCACUAAGCAGUUCAAAUCGAUGGUUGGGAAAGGUAAUUUCCACAUAAAGCUUGUUGAUCUACAAAAAGUGCAGCUGUGCGUAGCUAUACAUUUGAGAUAUACUCUUAUUUUGCGACGGAGGGAGUAAUUUAUAACUGACCACUGCAACAAGCUAAAUGUUGGCCUGCUCAAAUUAUGUCUAGCUCUGUUUUUGAAUUAUGUUUUCUGGCAGCUUAUUUUUACUUCGCUAGUUGUUCACAUAGAGAGCAACCAAAUAAGGCUUGUUGGUUAAGACUUGGUAUCCAUCAUUCUGUUCCUGACACACAUUCUGUAAGAAAGCACAAUAAAAUGUUCUUGCUUUUUCUAUUGAGUACUCCCUCCGUCCGGAAAUACUUGUCAUCAAAAUGAACAAAAAGGGAUGUAUCUAGAACUAGAAUACGUCUAGAUACAUCUUCCUUUAUCCAUUUUGAUGAUAAGUAUUUCCAGACGGAGGGAGUAUUAUCCAACUCCAGGACGUUGUAAUAGUCUAAUACUCCCUCUGUUCCUAAAUAUAAGUCUUUUUAGACAUUUCAAAUAGACUACCACAUACGGAUGUAUAUAGACAUAUUUUAGAGUGUAGAUUCACUCAUUUUGCUCCAACGUUUACGAGUCGAAGAGUCGACGAGCCGUUCCAAGGUUGAGACUCAUAGACUAGUCUAGACUAGUGCAAGACUAGUCGACAUGGUACUGUAGCACUGAACUUACAGUACAUAACUAAUAAUACCUAGUAGUAGUAUGUAGUACUACACUAUAUAAGUAUACAAGUACAGUAUACAAUUGAAACAAGCAAAGUGGAGUCACUGAGGCAGAGCAGCACCAGCAACUAGCAGCAAGCACAGCAGCACCAGCAGUCUAUCUGCGAGCAGAGCAGCACCAACAGCAAGCAGAGCAGCACCAGCAGUCCAGCAGCGAAGCAGAGCAACAGCAGCGGCAAGCCAAGAAGAAAGAGGAGG